This 168-nucleotide non-coding RNA is filed under the name bovine gut metagenome. The record is from RNAcentral.
ACAGGUGUCCAUAGGACUUAAUAGGGAAUUCGGUGCAUUUCUUGAUAAGCCGGAGCGGUCCCGCCACUGUAGGGUGGAGUCCUGCACAGAUAUGUCACUGGGGUAGAUAUGCGUACCUUGGGAAGGCGUGCAGAGCGAUGAAACCAAGCCAGGAGAACUGCCUGUUCC